CCGCACGAGUUGCGUUUUGUUGUAAACAUAGACAGAGAGUAAUGCUGAUGGAAUUUAGGUGGGUAUUAUGUGAGUCGUAGAUGCUCAUAAAGGACCAUCACACAUGC
This is a small nucleolar RNA of Lolium rigidum, 107 nucleotides long. Lineage: Eukaryota; Viridiplantae; Streptophyta; Magnoliopsida; Poales; Poaceae. The record is from RefSeq and is a predicted model, not a curated record.